UCACAAGUCACUUCCUUGUUCCUCUGACUGAUUCUCUCUGCCUGCCUCUCCUCAGACUGACGAUGGCUGAAGCCCAGCUGUUUGUGUCACAGGACGAGUUCACCUGCUCGGUGUGUCUGGACACCCUGACUGACCCCGUCACCAUCCCCUGUGGACAUAAUUUCUGUCUGAAGUGCCUCACGGACUGCUGGGAUCAGAGCCAAGUGUGCAGCUGUCCUCAAUGCAGAGAAAACUUCACCACGAGGCCUGCUCUGCGAAGAAAUUAUCUGCUGAAUGAAGUCAUCAAGAAAUUAAAGAAUUCAACAAUUAGUCCUCCUCUUCCUCCUACUCCUCCAUCUGAGAAUUAUGCUGGCCCUGGAGACGUGGAGUGUGACUUCUGUACUGGUAAGAAGUUCAGAGCUGUGAAGUCCUGUCUCACCUGCAUGGCCUCCUACUGUCAGACUCACCUGCAGCCUCAUUAUGAAGGAGACGUCCUGAAGCACCACAAGCUGGUUGAUCCUGAUAGAAAUCUGAAGGAGAAACUCUGUGAGAAACAUCAGAAAAGUCUGGAGAUGUUUUGCAAAACUGAUCAGAUGUGUAUUUGCAUGAAGUGUGGAGUGACUGAACAUAACGGGCAUAAAAUGGUUGAGCUGGAGACGGAAAGAGAAGAAAAGCAGAGACAGCUGGGGGCGACACUGAGUGACAUCAAGAGGAGACUUCUGAAGAGAGAGAAGACACUGAAGGAGACAAGGAGGACGAUUGACGAGAUGAAGAUGUCUGUGAUAAGAGAGUUGGAAGAAAAUGAGAAGAGCUUCAAUGCUCUGAUACGGUGCAUUGAGGAAGCCCACAGGAAAUUGACUGAGAGGAUCAGAGAACAAGAAAAGAGAGAAAUGGAGAAGGCUGAAGGAGUCAUGGAGCAACUGAAGAAGGAGAUUGAAGAGCUGAAGAGGAGAGAAGCUGAGAUGAAGGAGCUUUCAGAGACCAAGGACCAUCUCCACUUCCUGCAGACUUUCUCAUCUCGCUGUGUCCUUCCUGCUGAUGGAGACUCUCUGAGCUUCACUGUCACCUCUGAUUUCUCAUCUGAGGACCUGAGAAAGGAGCUGUCUGGUCUGACAAAGAGUCUAGAGAAGAUCAGCCGGUGGGUCAUCAUGACAAGGACUCCAUCAGCUCAUGAAGCUCCAGUUUUCACCCUCCAGCCUCCUGAACCUCAGAGCAGAGACGACUUUAUAAAAUACUUCUGUCCCCUCACACUGGACAUCAACACGGCACACAGAGCCCUCCGUCUGUCUGAAGGGAACAAGAAGGUGACACGUGAGAGGACAGAGACUAAAUAUCCUGAUCAUCCUGACAGAUUUGACUACUGGGCUCAAGUUCUGUGCAGAGAGGCUCUGACUGGGACUCGCUGUUACUGGGAGGUGAAGUGCAGUGGAGACUUCAUGAGGAUUGGAGUCGCAUAUAAAGGACUGAGAAGGAAAGGAGGGAGCAGGGAGUGCGUCCUUGGAAACAACGAGAAGUCCUGGUGUUUGCAGUGGUAUCAAUCCCAGUACUCUGUGUGUCACAAUAACAAAUGGACUGUAAUCAGCGCCCCCUACAGCCCCAGAAUAGGUGUGUAUCUGGACUGGCCUGCUAGCUCUCUGUCAUUUUAUAGCGUCUCACACACAAUGACCCUCCUGCACAGGUUCAACACCUCCUUCACUGAGCCACUCUAUCCUGGGUUUUAUCUUUAUCUUCACUCCAGUGUAACAAUCAGCCAUCUGACACCAUGUGACCACUGACCAGUACCCUCCACCGGUAACUUGAUGUCCCCACAAACUCAGGUGUCUUUGUGUUUACAGUUUGGGGUCAAAAUUAAUUUUACACUAUAGGUGGGGGGGCAGCACCUCUGUGAGUGAAUUUGUGGAUGAGAAUGAGGGGCGAGUGCGGCUGUCAGGGUCUCCAUUAUUAUUGGGUCUGAGUAGCCAAUCAGGUGUGUGUGUCAUAAUGAGGGGCGGUGACACCUCAGACCUACAAAUACCAGUCUGACCAGCAGGGGUCACUGUUGAUUCACAGCCACAUGUCCUUCAGGCUGACACCCCAACUGCUGUGUCCUCUGAGUGUCACUGAAUGUCACCUGUUAAUCAGUCUAUAUAGCGCCUUUCAGUAGUGCUGCUCCAGCAGGACCACAUGCCUGUCUCAGUAUCCAGAGCCUCAUUCCAGUGACUAUUUAGGAGCACAGAGUGACAGAAGUGACAGGAGUGCUGGCCUGUGAACAGACAUUGUCUGCCCCUCUAUUAGUUACUCUGGUGGUCUGUCACCUCUGAAUGAAUUCACUGUGAAUGUCUAAAGACGAGGACUCACCGCUCAGUCACAUGUCGGCCAUACUGAUGGAGUUUGGUGUUUUACUGAGUCACUUGGUGUCACAUUAGACAUUAAACUGCACCUCCUCCUUGUUGUUCCCACUGUCACCCAACCUCAAGGAGACGAGUCAGCUGAAUGACUUCACCACCACUGUCGGUGUUCAAAGUGACAAUCAGAUGUGACACUUGGGGACACUUUUAUCUUUCCACUGACACACACAUUCCCAGGAUUAAUUUACAAUUCCCUUAGGACCCCACAAGGACCGGCGUAUCACCUGACAUCAGUGUGUGUGAAGAAGCCAAUGAAGGCCCAGGCUGACAGCCCCCCCACUGUGUAUUACAGGCCGCACCAGCAGAUGGCGACUAUGACUUCUAAAUCUGUCAUCUUCAUGGAGUCUGAGGGGUUAAAAGGAAGAGGAGAAGGUGAAUAAAGAGUGAGGGGUGAGGAUGAUAGAGAAGAGCAUCAGGGUGAUAAAGGGUGAGAUGAGUGACCUGAGACAGAGUGAGUCAGACGAGUGUGUCACUUGUGUGUUUGUCAGUUUUGUUCCUCCCUCCUAAUUUUCUCCUCUUUGACUCGUCACACAGUGAUGGCCAUCCUGUGAUCACAGAUUGUAUUUGUCGUUGAUCAAAUCCGUAUCUCGAUGUGUGACUGACGUCUGAUUCUUUAAGUACUCGCUCAUCAGACAGGUUGUCACCCGAUGAGCUCUUCACUGCUGACCUAAGCCCUGCUGCCCUCUUCUCUCUCCUGUCACCUCGGCCAUUGCUUCAGUCCCCGCUGUGUCACCUCAUAAAGCCACUGGUCUGUCUGGUCACUCAGGUCCUCAUCACAGCUGCACACUGGCAGUCAUUCAAACUCUACAGGCUGACAGCCAUGUUGUCCUGUCGUCUGAUGUUUGUGUUGGUUGAGGUCGUCUCCUGCUGACCUUGGGGGCUUUUAGAGCUCAGGAUUAAUGAAAUGGAAAUGUCAGUCAGCAGGGUGGGCAGGUGGGCACAUUCAGGGCAUAAUGUCACUUAAAAGUCGAUGAGCACACUGGACACAUCGCCAGUCACUGAUAAUCGACUCCACGUCAGCUCCUGUGGCCCUCAUCAUGUGCUGUCAACUCAGACGCUGGUCAUGUGACUUGCACCUUAGUGACAUUGCUGUGACUUUCAGGGCUGUGACAUCAGCUGAUUCUUCUGGAGCCAAACUGCUCCCUCUUGUGGCCACUCUACAUAUUAAACACACGAGAAGUUAGGAUGUGAAGUGUUUGGUGAGAUCUAAAAAAUAUUCAGAAUAUUGACAUCACCUUGAAGGACAGUUUGGUUUAAUAAUAAUUAAUUUGUAAAAGAAUACUUAUUUUAAAUUAAUGUUUAGUUAAUUAUAAUUAGGUGUUACAUUCACAGAGAUAAAUGGCCUGUUAAUGCUUCACAGUUUGUAAAAUUUGAAUUGCUUAUUAAUCUAAAAA
Molecule: RNA transcript, 3760 nt
Organism: Erpetoichthys calabaricus (reedfish)
Lineage: Eukaryota; Metazoa; Chordata; Cladistia; Polypteriformes; Polypteridae
Gene name: tripartite motif-containing protein 16-like
Exons: 10
Source: RefSeq, a predicted model, not a curated record